Molecule: long non-coding RNA, 468 nt
Organism: Papaver somniferum (opium poppy)
Lineage: Eukaryota; Viridiplantae; Streptophyta; Magnoliopsida; Ranunculales; Papaveraceae
Exons: 4
Source: RefSeq, a predicted model, not a curated record
UUUUUGACAUCUUAGAUUUUUUUUCUGAAGAGAGAGAUGGAGGCGGAACACAGAGACGAUUACGAUUAGUGUUUUUAAGUAAUACAGGUGUCCCAUGUACUAUCACUCUAAGCUUGCAUUUCUGUUGUGGCUCCAACUUCUAUCUUUUGAUGGGGACAUGGAAAGACCGGAUCAUUUUGAAGGCCUGUAUAUAAUUGUACAAGAUGAUAAAGAUGAGUUCCCAACUAAUGUUUCUAUGCUUGCAGCCCAAGAUGAUGCAACACACUGCAAGUCCGGCUAUUACGGAUGUUAUCCAACUGGUUCUUGACAUGGUUGAUAUUUUUCUCAGUUUGUGCGGACUAGGGUGGUAGUCUGGCUAUCAUGGAUUUUGGAUUUUUUUGGAUCUUUGCAGCGGUGUACAUAAUUAUACACACAAAUGUAAAUUAAAAAUUUUUAAAAAUGAAAAUUAUAUAGUCAUAUGGGUACUCU